GAAUUUUCCGCAAUGGGCGAAAGCCUGACGCAGCGACGCCGCGUGGAGGACGAAGCCCUUCGGGGUGUAAACUCCUUUCGACGGGGACGAAAACCUCGCAAGAGGCUGACGGUACCCGGAUAAGAAGCCCCGGCUAACUACGUGCCAGCAGCCGCGGUAAUACGUAGGGGGCUAGCGUUGCUCGGAAUUACUGGGCGUAAAGGGUCCGUAGGCGGUUGAAUAAGUCGGCGGUGAAAUCUCCCGGCUCAACUGGGAGGGGUCCGCCGAAACUGUUUGACUCGAGGGCCGGAGGGGCGAGUGGAAUUACCGGUGUAGCGGUGAAAUGCGUAGGUCUCGGUAGGAACACCGGAGGCGAAAGCGGCUCGCUGGACGGCACCUGACGCUGAGGGACGAAAGCUGGGGGAGCAAACAGG
This 413-nucleotide ribosomal RNA is filed under the name uncultured bacterium. RNAcentral describes it as "bacterial SSU rRNA". It matches the Rfam family "Bacterial small subunit ribosomal RNA", at positions 359 to 776 of the family's 1533-position model. The record is from RNAcentral.